RNAcentral lists this ribosomal RNA (377 nucleotides) under Hemidactylus farasani (Farasan gecko). Its description in RNAcentral is "partial small subunit ribosomal RNA". It matches the Rfam family "Bacterial small subunit ribosomal RNA", at positions 794 to 1384 of the family's 1533-position model. Lineage: Eukaryota; Metazoa; Chordata; Lepidosauria; Squamata; Gekkonidae. The record is from RNAcentral.
GCUUAGAAGUAAACCAAGGCAGACCCAACUGCCCGCCAGAGAACUACAAGCGAAAAGCUUAAAACUCAAAGGACUUGACGGCAUUCCACAUCACACUAGAGGAGCCUGUCCUAUAAUCGAUAACCCACGUUUAACCUCACCUGUUCUCGCACCACCAGCCUAUAUACCGCCGUCCAGCCCGCCUUACAAAAGUACCAACAGCGAGCAAAACAGUCCACACUAACACGUCAGGUCAAGGUGUAGCUAACGCACAGGCAGAGAUGGGCUACAUUUUCUCAAAAGAAAACCACCACCCGCACCAUGAAACAAGUGCACAAAGGAGGAUUUAGCAGUAAGCCACGCAAGCCUGCGUGACUGAACCGUGCCCUGGAAUGUGU